This 484-nucleotide ribosomal RNA is filed under the name uncultured bacterium. RNAcentral describes it as "partial 16S ribosomal RNA". It matches the Rfam family "Bacterial small subunit ribosomal RNA", at positions 30 to 507 of the family's 1533-position model. The record is from RNAcentral.
AUUGAACGCUGGCGGCAGGCCUAACACAUGCAAGUCGAGCGGAUGAAGGGAGCUUGCUCCUGGAUUCAGCGGCGGACGGGUGAGUAAUGCCUAGGAACCUGCCUGUUAGUGGGGGCUAACGUCCGGAAACGGGCGCUAAUACCGCAUAAGUCCAUAGGGAGAACGUGGGGGAUCUUCGGACCUCACGCUAUUAGAUGAGCCUAUGUCGGAUUAGCUAGUUGGUGGGGUAAAGGCCUACCAAGGCGACGAUCCGUAACUGGUCUGAGAGGAUGAUCAGUCACACUGGAACUGAGACACGGUCCAGACUCCUACGGGAGGCAGCAGUGGGGAAUAUUGGACAAUGGGCGAAAGCCUGAUCCAGCCAUGCCGCGUGUGUGAAGAAGGUCUUCGGAUUGUAAAGCACUUUAAGUUGGGAGGAAGGGCAGUAAGUUAAUACCUUGCUGUUUUGACGUUACCAAUAGAAUAAGCACCGGCUAACUUCGUG